RNAcentral lists this ribosomal RNA (253 nucleotides) under uncultured bacterium. RNAcentral's name for it is "partial 16S ribosomal RNA". It matches the Rfam family "Bacterial small subunit ribosomal RNA", at positions 524 to 776 of the family's 1533-position model. The record is from RNAcentral.
UACGAAGGGGGCAAGCGUUGUUCGGAAUUACUGGGCGUAAAGGGCGCGUAGGCGGCUUAUCAAGUCAGGCGUGAAAUUCCCGGGCUCAACCUGGGGGCUGCGCUUGAUACUGAUGAGCUUGAAUGCGGGAGAGGAUAGUGGAAUUCCCAGUGUAGAGGUGAAAUUCGUAGAUAUUCGCAAGAACACCAGUGGCGAAGGCGGCUCACUGGCCCGGUACUGACGCUGAGGUGCGAAAGCGUGGGGAGCAAACAGG